GGGCAGGAGAGGCCCCUACGUUAGAUUUUUUUAAGUAAUCGAUCAAGAAAGGCUUCUUGGAAAAUGUUUUGGCACUUUUUGCAGUUGAGGGUACUACGAUUUCCAGAGUAGUUGGAAGUUCUCUCCGGCUAAUGUUCGACAACAAUUUGGCUGCCUGCUACAGUUGGAAGGGGCAGAAGCAUAAGAAGGCACUGUGCAAUUCGGAGAUAGUCAAGAUUAUCUUGGGAGUGCUUCGGCUCAGGAUAAGGGAGAUGAACACGAGUUCCUGAACUGAGGGUGGACAGUUUGCUGAUUGUGCUAUGUUAAAUAAAA
Molecule: long non-coding RNA, 312 nt
Organism: Bacillus rossius redtenbacheri
Lineage: Eukaryota; Metazoa; Arthropoda; Insecta; Phasmatodea; Bacillidae
Exons: 3
Source: RefSeq, a predicted model, not a curated record